This 554-nucleotide ribosomal RNA is filed under the name uncultured bacterium. Its description in RNAcentral is "partial 16S ribosomal RNA". It matches the Rfam family "Bacterial small subunit ribosomal RNA", at positions 355 to 900 of the family's 1533-position model. The record is from RNAcentral.
UAGGGAAUCUUCCACAAUGGACGCAAGUCUGAUGGAGCAACGCCGCGUGAGUGAAGAAGGUUUUCGGACCGUAAAGCUCUGUUGUUGGUGAAGAAGGAUAGAGGUAGUAACUGGCCUUUAUUUGACGGUAAUCAACCAGAAAGUCACGGCUAACUACGUGCCAGCAGCCGCGGUAAUACGUAGGUGGCAAGCGUUGUCCGGAUUUAUUGGGCGUAAAGCGAGCGCAGGCGGAAGAAUAAGUCUGAUGUGAAAGCCCUCGGCUUAACCGAGGAAUUGCAUCGGAAACUGUUUUUCUGAGUGCAGAAGAGGAGAGUAGAACUCCAUGUGUAGCGGUGGAAUGCGUAGAUAUAUGGAAGAAUACCAGUGGCGAAGGCGGCUCUCUGGUCUGCAACUGACGCUGAGGCUCGAAAGCAUGGGUAGCGAACAGGAUUAGAUACCCUGGUAGUCCAUGCCGUAAACGAUGAGUGCUAAGUGUUGGGAGGCUUCCGCCUCUCAGUGCUGCAGCUAACGCAUUAAGCACUCCGCCUGGGGGAGUACGACCGCAAGGUUGAAAC